Molecule: long non-coding RNA, 774 nt
Filed under: Marmota monax (woodchuck)
Lineage: Eukaryota; Metazoa; Chordata; Mammalia; Rodentia; Sciuridae
Source: RNAcentral
GUGAGGAGGCGGCGCUCGCCAAGGCUUGAACCUUCCUGGCGGCCGCCCUGCUUGCGGGCUCGGCCGGACGCUGAGGACGCCCUGGGGCGAAUAGUUUACCCCUCAGCUGUGCGGCUCACGGCGCUGAGGGCGGUGGGGGCCGCUUUUCGGCAGCAGAUCCGCCAGUUUUGUGUCAACUCCGCGUCCCCAGACUACGGAGUGAGUCGCUCGGUCGCUUAGACGCUGCUUCGCGGUUUCCCAGACGGUUUCUAACUCCUGACAAAGACACUGGGAGGACGAAUGUGUAGGCCUAGGCUAACUGUGCGCCCGUGUUAACUCUUGGCGGCUGUCGGCUUAGGUGAGGGUGUGUGCAGCCUCCGGGACACGCACACUUGCUCGCGUGCAAGCACCCUCCGCCACUCCCUGGCUCUCGUCCGGUUUCCUACGGCUGCCCUUUCUGCAGAUGCAAAUAAGCCUCACCUUCUUCAGGCGGCGGAUGAAUUACAGCCGUGAAAAAUGAGAAUCCCCAGAGCCCACGUUCCAGGCAGUAUGUUACAUGGUGAUGUUUUUGUGAAUAAAAUAAAAAUAACAGCCUAAAUAAGUCAGCCAUUUGAUAAAACCCCAGGAAUGUGUCAGGUUUCUCUAGCUAGACAGCUUUGUUUUUUCCUCAGUGCCUUUCAGUGCUUCAGACUUUAUUUCAAGAGUUUUAAAGACCAUAAAACUUGUAAAUCUCUUUAGAAGUUGUCAAAGAAAAACGACAACAUUCCCAAAGGGCCUUUAGCAGUUGCAUUGGAC